GAAAAGACAAUGAUAACAAAGAACAAUAUUGAUAGUUCUCUGCUUUUAGGUAUUGAGUUCUGCCCAAACAAAGUAACAUCAGUCAUGUGAGUAGAACUCCUCACAAUACUGAGAGCUGGGCUGAGCUGGGGGUGCAGGUGGAGGGGGUGACCUGGACAAGGGAAAUGCACAAACAAUAAAAGAAGUACUUUCUAGAUUAUAAAGGACCAUACAGAGCAAGGUGAAGUCUACUCAUGCUCUCACUACUGCUCUGCUGCCCCCCUGCUUUUUGAAAAUGGGAAGAAGAGUAUGAACACCAAUCACGGAACACAUGUAAAAUACUGGGAAAAACAGGCAUGUUUCAUACUCACGUGGAAGUGGUUUCUGAUCAAAGUAUAUGCCCUUGGUGUUAAAGCCCAUGAGAACUGAGUUCAUUGACUCAUCCAAACAUUCACAGAGCAUCAACUAUUACCUGGGCAAGGUUUCUCUUGUCCUGUGUUUAUGUCUAAGUAGAGGUGCAUACUGAUUAGAAAAGACCUCUUCACAGGAAGCUGGGAAAGGCCUGGACUCCUCAGCCACAAAGGGGUCAGAAGUAAAGCAGGAGUAGGUAUUCCAAGUAGAAGGCUUGUAAAGCUUUCAUGUGUUCUAUAAAAACGGUACAUUUGGUGUAGAAAAUGCACUUGAUGUGGGCACCCUUUCCAUUGAUUUGUGCUCUGCCGAAUGCAGACCUGUCUUCAGCAGACGCAUGAGAGGCACAACCCAAAGCUUCAGGCAUUGUCCCACAUGGCACUUUCUUUCAGCACAAGAUUGUACAGUUCAGCCUGGGCAUCAGUUUCUAGAUUGUAGCUGUCAUCAGCCUCAGCCCAAACCACAGUUUAACUGGCUUUAUUUGGUUACAAACAUAAUUGGAAUGAAAGGUUUAGAAGGAGAGGUAAGCUAGAGCUAAUCUUCCUAUCAUAAAAGAAAACACAUACACACUUGUUAUUUCCUUUUUCAUUUUUGGGCACCCUGGUGAUUGAGUGGCUCUUCCACACCAUGCGGAUCUAACCUCAGAGGGCAGUGUAUGAAGCAUUCCCCUGAAAUCUUCUAAACCUAGGGGAGCAGUGGUGGAAACCAUCAGUGUCCCUCCACGGCUUGUCUCUCAUGUGGACGGCCACAUCCCGGCUCAGGGCACAGUCCUGGCACGUGUACCGCUGCCAGGCUCCCUGCCAGGGAGAACAGCGCGCCCUCCUCCUUGCUAGAGGGACAGGAACUCCUGUGCAGCCUCCCUCGCCCGAGGGGGAAGGCACUGAUGAUGCCCUGGCAGGCUCCUUCCAAGUGGCCUGGUGCCCUGCUCCGGAUCAACUCAACAGAUAAUGAAAAGACCUCUUCAUGGCUUGAACUCCCUCACACAAAAGAAAACCUUCACGCCCGCUUCUGCUGAGGCCCAUCAGCGCCGUUCCCUCUCAGCUGAGGAACAGAGAGGGACUUCAGGAAAACCUUGGCAGAAGAUCACUGGCCAGCAGGAGUUGCCAAUCACAGCACAGACAACAAAUAUGACACUGGCUGAAUAGUUAGUCGUCAUGUCUUCUCAGAUCUGGUUUGGAUGACCUUGACAGUUUUGAGGAGUACAGUUCAGCAUCGUGACUGACACGAGGGGUGAUGUAUAAUUAAGGCUGAGAGAAGAUGCUGGAGCAGAAGGAGAAGAUAAAGGCAGGAGGAGGAGCAGAAUGCUCACAAAGUGGAAAAAGAACUAAAUAUCCAAGGCUUUAACAUUUCACAGAAGAAAUAGAAGAUUUUGUGAAAUUUCUACAAUGUGCCAAGGAUAAAAAUACAAGUAGGGUAAAGUACUAACACUUUGGGGACAGGGAGGCAUAAAUCAAUGUGGUAAUGUCAGCAAGGGAGAAGCGUGUGGAAGUAAUUUGAAGAACUCCAUCAUGUGCAUUGUUGUUUUAGAAAACAUUAUUCUUUGUGUAAUAGGAAAGGUGAAGAUAUAUUAGCAGCAACAAUUUCUUUUUGUCUUCCCCCCAAGUUUUGUGUAAAAGUAAUACUUGUCCACAGUAAAUAUAAUUCAAUCCAUAUUGAAGAGAACUAAAAUAAAAAAUAAUUUCCUUAGCCCUGGC
Camelus dromedarius (Arabian camel) is the source of this 2081-nucleotide long non-coding RNA. RefSeq lists it as uncharacterized. The record is from RefSeq and is a predicted model, not a curated record. The transcript is spliced from 3 exons. NCBI's taxonomy places the organism in Eukaryota, Metazoa, Chordata, Mammalia, Artiodactyla, Camelidae.